GCACGAAUGGCGUAACGAUGGCCACACUGUCUCCUCCCGAGACUCAGCGAAGUUGAAGUGGUUGUGAAGAUGCAAUCUACCCGCUGCUAGACGGAAAGACCCCGUGAACCUUUACUGUAGCUUUGCAUUGGACUUUGAAGUCACUUGUGUAGGAUAGGUGGGAGGCUUUGAAGCAGAGACGCCAGUCUCUGUGGAGCCGUCCUUGAAAUACCACCCUGGUGUCUUUGAGGUUCUAACCCAGACCCGUAAUCCGGGUCGGGGACCGUGCAUGGUAGGCAGUUUGACUGGGGCGGUCUCCUCCCAAAGAGUAACGGAGGAGUUCGAAGGUUACCUAGGUCCGGUCGGAAAUCGGACUGAUAGUGCAAUGGCAAAAGGUAGCUUAACUGCGAGACCGACAAGUCGAGCAGGUGCGAAAGCAGGACAUAGUGAUCCGGUGGUUCUGUAUGGAAGGGCCAUCGCUCAACGGAUAAAAGGU
This 475-nucleotide ribosomal RNA is filed under the name Salmonella enterica. RNAcentral describes it as "partial 23S ribosomal RNA". It matches the Rfam family "Bacterial large subunit ribosomal RNA", at positions 1990 to 2464 of the family's 2925-position model. Lineage: Bacteria; Pseudomonadati; Pseudomonadota; Gammaproteobacteria; Enterobacterales; Enterobacteriaceae. The record is from RNAcentral.